AGUGAACGCUGGCGGUAGGCCUAACACAUGCAAGUCGAACGGCAGCACAGUAAGAGCUUGCUCUUACGGGUGGCGAGUGGCGGACGGGUGAGGAAUACAUCGGAAUCUACUUUUUCGUGGGGGAUAACGCAGGGAAACUUACGCUAAUACCGCAUACGACCUACGGGUGAAAGCAGGGGAUCUUCGGACCUUGCGCGAUUGAAUGAGCCGAUGUCGGAUUAGCUAGUUGGCGGGGUAAAGGCCCACCAAGGCGACGAUCCGUAGCUGGUCUGAGAGGAUGAUCAGCCACACUGGAACUGAGACACGGUCCAGACUCCUACGGGAGGCAGCAGUGGGGAAUAUUGGACAAUGGGCGCAAGCCUGAUCCAGCCAUACCGCGUGGGUGAAGAAGGUCUUCGGGUUGUAAAGCCCUUUUGUUGGGAAAGAAAAGCAGCAGGUUAAUACCCCGCUGUUCUGACGGUACCCAAAGAAUAAGCACCGGCUAACUUCGUG
This 492-nucleotide ribosomal RNA is filed under the name uncultured bacterium. RNAcentral's name for it is "partial 16S ribosomal RNA". It matches the Rfam family "Bacterial small subunit ribosomal RNA", at positions 29 to 507 of the family's 1533-position model. The record is from RNAcentral.